This 508-nucleotide ribosomal RNA is filed under the name uncultured bacterium. Its description in RNAcentral is "partial 16S ribosomal RNA". It matches the Rfam family "Bacterial small subunit ribosomal RNA", at positions 30 to 523 of the family's 1533-position model. The record is from RNAcentral.
AUUGAACGCUGGCGGCAUGCCUUACACAUGCAAGUCGAACGGCAGCGGGGGAGAAGCUUGCUUUUCCUGCCGGCGAGUGGCGAACGGGUGAGUAAUACAUCGGAACGUGCCCUGUAGUGGGGGAUAACUAGUCGAAAGAUUAGCUAAUACCGCAUACGACCUGAGGGUGAAAGUGGGGGACCGCAAGGCCUCAUGCUAUAGGAGCGGCCGAUGUCUGAUUAGCUAGUUGGUGGGGUAAAGGCCUACCAAGGCGACGAUCAGUAGCUGGUCUGAGAGAACGAUCAGCCACACUGGGAAUGAGACACGGCCCAGACUCCUACGGGAGUCAGCAGUGGGGAAUUUUGGACAAUGGGCGAAAGCCUGAUCCAGCAAUGCCGCGUGUGUGAAGAAGGCCUUCGGGUUGUAAAGCACUUUUGUCCGGAAAGAAAUGGCUCUGGUUAAUACCUGGGGUCGAUGACGGUACCGGAAGAAUAAGGACCGGCUAACUACGUGCCAGCCGCCGCCGUAA